Molecule: transfer RNA, 72 nt
Filed under: Bos taurus (domestic cattle)
Lineage: Eukaryota; Metazoa; Chordata; Mammalia; Artiodactyla; Bovidae
Also listed under: 1 other name
Rfam family: tRNA
About the family: Transfer RNA (tRNA) molecules are approximately 80 nucleotides in length. Their secondary structure includes four short double-helical elements and three loops (D, anti-codon, and T loops). Further hydrogen bonds mediate the characteristic L-shaped molecular structure. tRNAs have two regions of fundamental functional importance: the anti-codon, which is responsible for specific mRNA codon recognition, and the 3' end, to which the tRNAs corresponding amino acid is attached (by aminoacyl-tRNA synthetases). tRNAs cope with the degeneracy of the genetic code in two manners: having more than one tRNA (with a specific anti-codon) for a particular amino acid; and 'wobble' base-pairing, i.e. permitting non-standard base-pairing at the 3rd anti-codon position.
Source: Rfam by way of RNAcentral
UCCCUGAAAGUCCAGUGGUUAAGACUUGGUGCUUUCACUGCUAUGGCCGAGGUUCAAUCCCCAGUUGGGGAA